Molecule: long non-coding RNA, 2044 nt
Filed under: Homo sapiens (human)
Lineage: Eukaryota; Metazoa; Chordata; Mammalia; Primates; Hominidae
Description: HSALNT0343559
Source: RNAcentral
CCUGAGCUCCGCUUCCUGUCGGGUCAGCAGCGGCAUUAGCGUCUCAUAGGAGCAUGAACCCUACUGUGAACUGCGCAUGCGAGGGAUCUAGGCUGCGCGCUCCUUAUGAGAAUCUAACGCCUGAUGACCUAUCACUGUCUCCCAUCACUCCCAGAUGGGACCGUCUAGUUGCAGGAAAACAAGCUCAGGGCUCCCACUGAUUCUACAUUAUGAUCAACUGCAUGGGGUCCUACAGGAGAAGACCAAGAGACAGAGACAGAGACCAGGGAAAAUGACCGAUACCAUUCCUUCUCAGGGAUGCUACACACCCAUGGGGCAGAGGAUAAGAGGUUCCUGAAGGCAUCACCCCUCUGGCCAUGGCUGGUGUGCAGACAAAGCUGGAGAUUUGGAGUAGCCUGUUGUCCCACUGACUCUUAGACUGCCCCAGCUAAGAAGAACCAACUCCUCCUAUUACAGAUGAAAUAAACAAAGCUACUCAAGCUCUCUGGCAUCGCCCUGACGGUCAUCAUGUGCUUCACAUUUCCCUCCUGCCCCCCCUGAUUUUCUGGAAAAGGGAGAAACACACCAAAGAGAGUUCUAGAAAAAAUGAGAAUAAGAAAUUUACCUGUAAUCCUUGCUCAAGAAACUGAAGCUCUGAGGCCACAUUGUUCCAGCCUUUUGCAGCUCCUGCAUGUGGAUACCAGCACCAGCAGCUCCCCGACCAGGGGCCCCAGCUAAGCCCUCCCAGAGGAUGAUCUUGGCUUUGUACAUGGGGUGUCAAUAUCCUGUGAGUCCAACAGAGGGAAGACAUAAGAAUAUGGUCACCCAGGGCUCUGCUCAAGUCCCUGCACCAAUGCAACCUGCCAAGGGAAAGCGCUCACCAUGGUUCUGUCUUGACCUGCCAGUUUUUGUGGCAAUUCUGAAUGUCGACAGGAGAAUGUCUCCCGGAUUUCAGCCUUUUAGAAGAUAAAAUGGUCCUAUGUGUUCAUGAACAAAACCCACCAGUUUCCCCAGGGCAGUGAGUUACCUGACAUCUGGCAGAUUCCUGGAAGGUUUCCUCUGGCCCCAUACUGGGAUCCAUUCCUGGGACAACUAGAAGUGCCAGGGAGUUAAAGCCCCAAGAGCGACCUUCAAGCCAAUAAGAGAUGGAGUUGGAAUGAAAACCUCAGCUUCCUCAUACCUCAGUGGGACAAUCCUGAGAUGUGUUCCUCAAGUCUCUCCAAGGACCUGAUGGGACUGAGUCCUGGUUGCUCAUGAGAGAAACCAGCAGGACUGGAUGUCAGUGAUUGCACCAUGCAGGAUUACAGAUUGUGCUGAGUUUAGAUUUUCUGCCUUCCUCCUCAGUUGUCAGGCUGCUAGCCAGCUCUUCUGCUCCCAUGACACCUGCAUCGAAUGCCUGCCCUUUCCUUACUACAAGACCCUUUCCAGUUCCCAGAUUAGAAUCUGCCACAGGCUAGGAAUCCCACAUCCCAGUAGUGAUUUGGCUCCAAGUGCAAAGGCACCUAGUGUCUGCCUUUUGUUCAGCAGCUUGGUGAUGGACAUAUCCAGGACUCAGAGACCCCUUUCCCUCAGCUCUCUGAGUUGGAAGCUGUCAGGUGCAGAAGGGCAACAUCUUACAUACACAGGGUUUGGGCAGGUCUGGGCAGUGCCUGGUUAAUGUUAAAUAAUGCAGAUAAAGGAAUUGUUGACAUCUGAAAGUCAAUAUGAAAAUUGUAUGCACUGCUGUGACUCAUGCAACUUCACUCCCAGCCCUGGUUCUCAUGAUUCCAGAAGUGGAAAAAAUAAGGCAACUCUUUUCCUCACAAUUCAAAAAAAUACCUAUUGAGCAACAUCAGCUUGGCCCACACAAGACAAUUUUUAUCCCUUCCGUUAGUUAACUUUGCUUUGGCCAAAGGCCAGAAAAACCUCAUUCUUUACAGGCAACCUCAGACCACCAUCCUGGAUCCACUUCAAAAACUAACUGCAGACCUGUGUCUUACUAGAGGUGAUUUGGUAGCAUUGAAGAUCAAAUCCCGAUUUAAAAAAUUAAAAAAAAAAUGAACAUAAAAUGCAUUUUUAACAAUGU